RNAcentral lists this non-coding RNA (236 nucleotides) under Priestia megaterium. RNAcentral describes it as "Bacillus megaterium T-box sequence". It matches the Rfam family "T-box leader". Rfam says of the family: Uncharged tRNA acts as the effector for transcription antitermination of genes in the T-box leader family. T-boxes are found upstream of many aminoacyl-tRNA synthetase genes and some amino acid biosynthetic genes usually in Gram-positive bacteria. The record is from RNAcentral. Lineage: Bacteria; Bacillati; Bacillota; Bacilli; Caryophanales; Bacillaceae.
UAAAAAACGAUGAAAGAGAGCAGUAGCUUAUGUCCGUUUAUGCAGGGAGAAAAUGCCGUGACUGAAAGCAUUUUUAUAAAUGUAAUAAGUGAAUUCACCUCUUGAGUUGACACUUAGACCAUCUUACAUAGAUGUAAAGGUGUUCCGGAGAUUCCGUUAACUUGAAUGAAGUGAACUGUAUGCGUCUGUGUAUAUAGUUAACAAGGGUGGUAACGCGACUAAUCCUCGUCCCUUUU